GGCACUGCGGCCCAGGGGCGGGCGCGGAGAGGGCCCACAGUGCACUCGGUGACACUGUAUGCCCUCACCGCUCAGCCCCUGGGUCUGGCGUGACGGACAGGACAGCGUCCAG
RNAcentral lists this microRNA precursor (112 nucleotides) under Canis lupus familiaris (dog). RNAcentral's name for it is "miRNA (ENSCAFG00000054562.1)". The stretch from base 11 to 83 matches the Rfam family "mir-675 microRNA precursor family". The record is from RNAcentral. Lineage: Eukaryota; Metazoa; Chordata; Mammalia; Carnivora; Canidae.